Molecule: long non-coding RNA, 2222 nt
Organism: Tachysurus fulvidraco (yellow catfish)
Lineage: Eukaryota; Metazoa; Chordata; Actinopteri; Siluriformes; Bagridae
Exons: 3
Source: RefSeq, a predicted model, not a curated record
CAGACAGCAUGAGCAGACUAGGGGGCUACAUGUUCACAGGAGGAGGGAGACUCCAGGUCUGCACAGUAACUCUGAAGAAGAGAGAAGAGGAGGUUUAGGAAAAGGAGGAGGAGGGCUGCUGGCACACUUCUCUUUAGACGAGAGGAAGAGAAGCACAUUAAUCAUCCAGAGACAUCUGUUCAUAUGCUGCUUUACAGCUCUGUCAAAGCUCUCUUGACUUGCCUGUGUAGCUCCAUGCAAGGAGAAAAAAGAAACCAGCUCUGCACAUCAUACAGCAUCAACCACCCAGGGAGGGAGAAGACUAACACAUGCUUCUGUUCUCUUCCACGUACAUGAGCGGACACACCAACAAUUGCCUAAUGAUAUAGUGAUUGAGAGGUGAGAGAGAAUAUCAUCCCUCCCACCCAGACAGUAUGGCCUAUUAUGCUCCCCAGGUUCCGGGUUACAGAAGGCUGUCUGUAAAUGAACUCUCAAUUUAUCAGCGAUUGGGGAAAAUCUUUUUUGUUGCACUACCUGGGAUCCCCAUAGGGUGUGUUUUAUUGUUCUUAUACCUCUUUGUGACACUGUUAGUUGUAUCUAAGGCUUGUACUGGUGUUUACACAAUACACCAAGGCUUUCUGUAUACUGCUAACUGUUUUGAAUUAUGUGAAUUAUGUUUGUCGGUGCUUGAGCAGUAUCUGCUUUCGGUAAUCCCUUUUUCCUACAUUACAGUUUUAUUUUGCUUACAUGUGCUGGAAAUUCUUAUUUCACUGAGAUUAUAUCAUUACAUUCUUAGAACAAGUAUGAACUGUUUUAAUUACUGAUAACAUUUUCAGGUUGUAAUAGACAUAAUUACACAGAUGAAGCACUUUAGAAUUUACUGCAAACAUGUUUUAGUAGUAAAAGAAAUAGUAAUAAUCUAGUAAUAACAACCUCAUUUAAAUGGCAAAUCAAACUACCUAUUGAACUAAUACUACAUAAACAAGAUUCAAUGUUUUAAAGCGUAACAUUUAAACAAAGGAUUUAAACAUAGGAUAUCGUUGUCCAGUUAGUUAUCAUUAUUCCUUUACAGUACAGUACUUCAUAUGUAUUUAUCUGUAUCAUCUUCAAUUAUAUGUUUGUAAGUCAGUCUAGCUUGUACAAUGUACAACCCAUCACCAUUAUUAGCUGCAGUUCCUCCUGGAUCUUCUCUGGAGCUUUACUGGGAAGUUUUAAGAUUUUGUUCUACAUGUAUUCAGGUAUUGUUUGUACUGUAGUUUGUGCUGAAUGAUAGUGGGAGUGAAAAUGAGAAGUGACUAAAUAUAGAGAAACAGAUGUUAUAUUGAGAACUGAAAGUUGUCUCACUCAUAAUACUUAUAAAUAGAAACCAACAGCUUACAUGUCAGACUUUGAAACACAAUUAAUGAUUAAUUAUGGUGAAUUAAAAUAAUCUUUCUAAGACUUAAUCAGACUUGAUUUGAUUUUGAAUGAAAUAUUUUUUCUAGAAAAAUUGCCAAAAUGAUCAGAAUGAUAGAAGAUAAAGAUUCAGAUUAAAAAAAGCAUGCAGAGAUUGUGCCAGCUCCAGUUGUGUUCCAAUUUGUGAAAAUUUCGGACCUCAAAGAGAAGAGGCCAACCCCAUGCGGAUUCUGAAGCAUCUAGAGAUGUACCAACUCCGGUUAGAUUCCGCUUCAUGAUGAUUUUGGACAUUUGAAGAGAAGUUGCUAACCCCAUGAGGACUUUGAGGAGAACAACCUCUUGAUCAAUAGACAAAAUAACAUUCUGCAUAUGCUAUAUAUCUCCUUCAUUGAGCAUUUGAAGGCUUCAGCAUGGAGGAGAUGGUGUUGAAUUUUUAAUGAACUUAGAUGAUGAGCUCCUGGUUACACAACUCCAAAUUUACUAUACAGUAUAUGACUGUAGAAAGGACAUUGUUUAUAAUCACACUCUCCUGUGUUUAUAAUAAUUUAUAAUCACACUCUAUAGUGUUUAGCAUAAUUUAUAAUCAUACUCUCUAGUGUUUGUAAUCAUUUAUACAUACACUCUCUGGUGUCACCCAAAUGAGGGUGUUCCUCUCAAGGGUUCUUCAUAUCAUCUAAGGGACUUUUUCCUCACCACAAUGAUGCAGGGUUGCUCAUUAUGGACAAAUAUCAAAUGGUCAUUUGCUCAAAUAGUUAUAAAUUCAAAUACAUUUCCAUAAACAUUGUAUGUCCUGUAAAGCUACAUUGAGAAAAUGUCCAUGGGUAAAAGUGCUUUACAAAUAAAACAUA